Molecule: long non-coding RNA, 220 nt
Organism: Scomber scombrus (Atlantic mackerel)
Lineage: Eukaryota; Metazoa; Chordata; Actinopteri; Scombriformes; Scombridae
Exons: 3
Source: RefSeq, a predicted model, not a curated record
CGUAAUUUGGGAACUCUGAGGUUGACAAGCAAUGAGCUGAAUCAUGCCUACUUUAGUUAUCUGAGUUCAGUUCUUAAUUCCACAAUCUUCAGUUUGAAAGAACUGGACCUAAGUUUUAACCUGGACAAUUCAGCAGUGAAACAGCUGUCUGGUCUACAUGAGAAUCCACAGUGUGCUCUGGAGACUCUGAGGCUGGAAUAAGGUGUCACCCUUACAAGGU